Podarcis lilfordi (Lilford's wall lizard) is the source of this 429-nucleotide non-coding RNA. The record is from the annotation of a GenBank genome assembly. NCBI's taxonomy places the organism in Eukaryota, Metazoa, Chordata, Lepidosauria, Squamata, Lacertidae.
GGAAGAAUGACAGAUGAAGAUGAUGGACUAUAUGGAACUGGCGGAAAUGACUGGCAGAAUCCGAGACCAGGGAGAAGAGUCGGUGGAAGAAGAUUGGAAGAAAUUUAAAGACUAUUUACAGAAAUACUGCAAAAUUAAUGAAUGUUAGAAUGAUGUCAGAAUGAAGUUAAGUGGUUUUAGCAGCAAUGUUAUAAAGGUGUAUGUAAAAAUGGAUUGUUAACAAGUGAAAAUUCAAAGUUAUAAUAUAUUAAGUUAAAGGAUUAAGACAAAAACAAAGAGGGAAAGGAAUUGCUGAAUUAACCAAUAGAAUUGGAAUACAAAAAAGGGAGGUGUGAGGAGGUCGGGGAAGCAAGGAAACGAAAUGUAAGGCAUGGAAAGACUGAUGUGUUUUUUUAAGUGUUUUUUAUCUUUUUUCUGUAUUUUUUUUCU